AACUUUCGGCAACGGAUCACUUGGUUCCGGCAUCGAUGAAGAACGCAGCGAAAUGCGAUAACUAAUGUGAAUUGCAGAAUUCAGUGAAUCAUCGAGUCUUUGAACGCACAUUGCGCCCCCUGGUAUUCCGGGGGGCAUGCCUGUCCGAGCGUCAUUGCUGCCCUCAAGCACGGCUUGUGUGUUGGGCUCCGUCCCCCCGGGGACGGGCCCGAAAGGCAGCGGCGGCACCGAGUCCGGUCCUCGAGCGUAUGGGGCUUUGUCACCCGCUCUGUAGGCCCGGCCGGCGCCAGCCGACAACCCAUCAUCCUUUUCAGGUUGACCUCGGAUCAGGUAGGGAUACCCGCUGAACUUAAGCAUAUCAAUAAGCGGAGGCU
Molecule: unclassified non-coding RNA, 374 nt
Filed under: uncultured Penicillium
Lineage: Eukaryota; Fungi; Ascomycota; Eurotiomycetes; Eurotiales; Aspergillaceae
Description: sequence contains ITS2
Rfam family: 5.8S ribosomal RNA (bases 1-154)
Source: RNAcentral